UAUUCUCCUCCUCUCCCCCUCUCCCCUUCUCUGGUCUCUCUUUCUCGUUCUCACUCGCCUUGGAUCCAAUAUAUCUCAUUCCCCCUCACCUUUACAAUGAAGAGAAGAGAUUACUUCAUCACCAUUUCCUCUAUCACCACAAAUCAAUCGCAGAGAGAAAAAACCUCUUUCUCCUUUAACUGAGCUCAGAAAAAAAACCGAAACUUACCAAAAAUAAACCCUAAAGUUCCCAAAAUUAAUAACAUAUCUGCUAACCCCAUAAAUCAAUUUUUUCUUAUCUCUCAAAUCCAUCUACUAUCUCACAUAACAAUUAACAGAUCAAUCGAUCUACUCCAUCAAUUUGAUGAUUCAUGUUCUGCUUUGGAAUUAUCUAGAUCCGUACAGUUCUCAGAGAAAAAAAGAUUUGUGAUGAUAAGGGAAGGUGCUUCUUACACAGCAACCAUAGGGUUUCGUUUUCUUCUUCAAUCAACUAUUGGAUGAAUCAUCUUCAUCUAACUAUACUUGAUUUCUUCUACUUCGAUGGUUUCUGUCAAAAGAAAAGGAAACAAUGUUGCUCUACUGUUGUUUGAUAAAAUGUCUUAAUGAACUAAAUGUCAUGUGCCUUGAAUUUGAUUUUAGUUUUGCAUUUUAAAUAUGUUUUGAUCAGUUUUUUUUAUUUAUUUAAGGUUUUUGAGUAAUGGGUCUUCAUAUUAAUGGUUCAUAUCUGCCAUUUUUGAUGCAUUUUGUUUUUUUAAUGCACAGUUCAUGGUGAUAUCCCUCCUCUUACUGUUGUUGCCUUGUGCUUAAGAUAUAUUCAAUUGAUAAGUUGAGGUCAGUGAAGAGGUUGAGUGAUCUGUUGCAAAAGAUGGGCCCUGCCAGCUUGGUCGGAAGGUGUAAAUUUGUAUGAUAUUUUUGUCCUUCAAAAAUCCAUUAGGUACAGGUGUAAUUUAGCAAACUAUGACUGACUUAGUGAUUUCAAGGUGUGCAUUAUACGCCUAAGGUAUACAUAUCUAACCACUGAUUGUUUGCACGUCUUCUCCUAAACGAAUUGAAGAUCCUGAUAGGGGAAAAUCGCGGGUUGAUUUAGGUUUAGGUUGGUCCUCCCCCUUCUUACUUGUGGGAAAGUAGAGGGAGACAAAAAUGCUUCUUUUUAUUUUCCAAGAGCACUUUCAUAUGUGAAACAUGACUAUUAGUGGAGAAAGGAUGUUGUUGCACUUUUAUAUCGAAUGCUUUUGGAUUAUAUUAGCUUUUAGAAAAAAAAUGUUGCCAUGGUAAAUUGACUCUGUGUUAUAGAGAAUGAAUCGUCACUUUAAAACUUCGGUGUUCAAUAUUACAUUCAAUUGAUAAUCUACUAAUUUUUAUAUAGGUGUGUUUUUGAAUCCUUUACUAGAUUUUGUUUCAUGUAUUGUCCCAACUCUCUAAGGAUGCCUUUGUAUUCUUAACAGAAAUAGCCGUAGCUUUAGUUAUAUAAUCUAAGAUAAAAAUAUAUAUUUAUCUUUGAACUUGUCUGUUCUUUCCUCCAAGUAUUAUGAUGCUCUACGAUUUUCUUUGUUCGUUUUUACUUUGAUGUUAUAGUUAUGAUAUUUUACGGCCUGAUUCAAUUUCAGAAGGUUGUGUCGGAUAGACAGAAACUCAACAGGUUUUGAAUAAAUAUAGGCAAUGAUGACACCCUUUAAAUAGUUUUAUUCCUUAAGUAAGUCAAUAUUACAUUAAAACUUAAAAACGAAUGAUCCUUUUUGUUAGUUGACCGAACUAUGUUUAGAUCAGCUUGCUCUGGAGUUUGGAUGAUAUUGUCUACAAUCUCAGGAUUUAAGGAGAUGUAAUAUACAUCCACACUGAUUUGCUGACAUCUUAAACAUAUUUGUAUUCAAGAUUUAUAAACGAACAAGUGGAAGGUGUGCUUAUUUUGUUAAAAAAUUGUUGCAGAGAUUCGUUCGAAUGAAGGAAUAGGUGCUACAGGGACUAGUGGAUGUACAUUUGGUAUAUCACUAUAUAAGAUUAUGGAUGAGCUGUGAUGGAUGCAUUGAUGUGCCAAUGCUCAUGCAAGUUCCAGCAUCAUUGAAAAAAAUGAUAGUUAUACAUAAUAAUCGUGUGUGUAAUUAAAGUCCAAGGUAAGGCAUUACUUACACAUUUUGUUUGUUAUGAAGUAAAUUAACAACCGAUGUGACCAGGCUUCAUCUUUCAAGGUAAAUGGGUUUUAAGUCUAUUAUUACUGCAUCCUAAGAUUUAUUACUUGUUUAAUAGUUAUUUGUUUGAGGAAACAACCCAACGCUGCAUAGUCAUAAAUACAAUAGUACGAGCUUUACCCAGUUUGUUGUAUAUACAUACUUGCAACAAUUGUUUUAUCACCUUUACUUGUUUAAAACAUGUUAACAAUUGAGAACACAUCUUAAUGAUUCUGUAUACAGUCUGAAGUUUUCUUUUUAAUGUAGUAUUGUUUUUAUUACAUAUAUUGAUCCAUGCAUAUCAUGCUCCGAAGUACAUUUGAUUCGGUUUGGUUUAGUAGUGCAUCUGAGUACAAGUGAUAAAAUGAAUAAUAUGGAAGUAGACAACCACCUGAUGAACACAACAUCGAAAUCUUACUUUAAAGUUUAGACUGCAUUCACAAUCGACCGAUUUAUAUAUAUUCAAAUCUGAUGUAUGAUUUAAUUUUUAUUUGUUGAUCAGGCCAGGGUUAGUUUGUAUGCAAGUUCGGUUGUGCGUUGUUCCUCGAAGGUUCUCUGGGCAACCUGAAGAUGUGCAAUUCCAAAUGAAAGUUGCGAAGAAUAAGGCAAGUAAAAGUUCCAGAUCCUGUUUACCUAUUCAUUCCACUUGAAUACGUACAAACCUGUGUAAAUCCAAUUAUAAAGAUAAAC
Molecule: long non-coding RNA, 2834 nt
Organism: Papaver somniferum (opium poppy)
Lineage: Eukaryota; Viridiplantae; Streptophyta; Magnoliopsida; Ranunculales; Papaveraceae
Exons: 6
Source: RefSeq, a predicted model, not a curated record